UGCUCCGUAUGUAAUCCAUAUUGAAAUCUCUAAAAAGACUUAUAUUUAGGAACGGAGGGAGUAGAAACUAAUUUUAAAAAAUGAUAAAUAAGUGACACAUGACAAAUAAAUCUAAAAGGAACAUGUUACAUAAAGAACUCUUGAGUCCCACGCACCUACAUUUAAAUCACAAUUAGACAUAUUGAUAGUAGCUCAUGUAGAUCAUCAAUAAAGAUGUUCCGAUUCAGUAACAAAAAAUAGAUAUUCCAAACUUUCAACUCUAUGAUCCUACAUCACCCAGAAACCAACUUUUACAAAAUUUUAUUUAUUAAAACACCUAACCAAACCUUUUCCUUCGAAGCUAUUCUCAAGGAUUAACUUAUCUCCCUUUUAGACUCAGAAAACUACUCCCCCUCCAGUUCACAAUAAGCUUUUCGAUAUGGAUAUGGACAUGGUCUCCAAAACAUAGCUUUGACCACUAAUUUCUAUUAAAAUCUUUCCCUAAUAAUAAAGCGGCUAUCGCUUCUGCCCGCCCGCUCACCGUCGCGGCCUUUUUGCAAAAACGUCCCUGUGGUUCUGCUUAUUCAACCCACAGUCCCUUUUUAAGUGCUGAACAGAGAAAACGUUUCGUUUUUGCAGAAAACCCCAUGUAGUUCUGAGUAAUCAACCCGCAGUCAUAAAAACGCACAAGCGAGCAGAUUUGCGGAAAAAAAAACACGAUCACGGGCUCUCCAUGAUGCGCACAGGUACGGCACCGCCGCCGCCGCCACGCGCGCCGGCCUCUCCGGCCAUCCGCCACCGUCACGCUCAGCCGGCCGUCCUCUCCGUCCAAUCACCGCCCUGUUCUCCAUCCCUUCCCCAUCCGUCCCCAAUCAGCCUCCUCGAUCUCCAACCUCCUGCAGUCGUCCUUCUCUGAUUUGGAUCAAAGUGGAGCCAUCGAUGGAGGCAGGGUAGCAGCAGAUGUGGAGCCAUCGGACGAGGAGGAUCAGCUCGGGAAACAUGAGGGAAGGGGUGGAUCUGGCGGAAGCGCGGGAGCAGCAGAUGGAGCCAUCUCAUCGACCCGUUUGGCGACCGGCCGGCUAGCCAAUUCCCUUCGCUCCCAUCACUUCCUCUAGCUCCGGCCGUCACCCGUCAGCCCGCACGAUGAUGGAUGUCUUCGCCGUCGCACAUGAGGAUGUUCUUGGACAUUCUGUGUUGCUACUGUUUGUAGGUUGCGGGAGCUUUUAGGAGUCAGAUUAGCUUCCACAUCUGUAGUUAGGGCUGACGAGUUUCAUCACUCUUUUGGUUGUUAGAUGAUUCAUGUUCAGAGGUUUAGAAGUGACACAUUUAUAAAACAUAGGUUUGCUUCGCUGAUUGGUACCCAAGACAAGCUAGAGAAAACCAGGGGGUCUUUUUUAAUUUGCUUGCGUUGCUUUUACUCUAUGAUAUGAUGAUUUCGCUUUGUUCACUGGGUUUAGGAGGGUUAUUUCUUUCGAAAGGAACACAAAGGUUUAUUUUUUACAUUUAUUACUUGAUGCUUAUUGAUGCUGAAACUGCAACUGCAAGGCACUGUCUGCUGCCUGCGUUUUAGAUCGAUGCCCCUUUAAUUUUUGGCUUGUGCUACUGAUUAAAUUCUGAGCCACUUAAAUUAGGGGAUGCGAUUGCCGUUGCUGUUGCCGUUGUUGAAUACAAUUACAGUAUUCGACCGGGUUAAUUUUUAUGUGUCACAGGCUGCAAAGAAUCUUGUAGCUGCGUCGGUGGCGGCGCCUUCAGUUCCUGCUUUCAGGGCCCCUGCUGCAACUGGAGCAGGUGGUGUGCUUAGAAAUCUACAUCAGAGGUACUGGUCAGGCUUUGUUGGCGGGUGUGCACUUUGGCGCCGCUUCUUCAUUCUAGGGAGAUUCAUAGGAGUAAUCCAGAAGGAGUUAUGCACAACUUCAUCAAAUGGCUACAGCAAGGUAGCCGCCUUUUCUUUCUGUCACGUUUACUAGCUAGGAGUAGGUUGAGGUUUUACCCACUGAUGGUUUCUAUUCUCUGUGCAGGAAUUUCAAGUGCACCAAGGGAGGAAGGGCCUGCUCUUGGUACACAAGACAAGCUAGAGAACAAACAAAGGCUCAACUGAUGCUUUCCUAAAGAGAGCUUCCGUCAACUGAACUUGAUAUGAUGUUAAUGCUGGAAGCUAUUGCUUGAUGUUUCCUUUGGCCUAUCACGUAGUACCUGCUGCAAAUAUCCUGCUACUAUUGUUGAAGUUCAUGUUAUCCAGUAAACUGGUUGUAUGUAUUAUCAGUUUCUCGCUAUUGCUCGAUACCUUUGGCCUAUCACAUGAGUACCUGCUGCAAAUAUCCUGCUACUAUUGUUGAAGUUCAUGUUACCCAGUAAACUGGUUGUAUGUAUUAUCAGUUUCUCAUUGCCUGACUGAUGACCUAAGGGUUUAAAGUUUAGCAGAAAUAUUCCCAGUUGACCAGAUUCGGAAUGGCGUGGCGCCGGUGCAGUGGUGCCGGGAUGAAGGUGCAGUCGUUGCAGUCCCGUGCAGCGCUGGCUCAUGCAAAUGCCCUAUCCGCGGCAUAG
Molecule: non-coding RNA, 2523 nt
Organism: Aegilops tauschii subsp. strangulata
Lineage: Eukaryota; Viridiplantae; Streptophyta; Magnoliopsida; Poales; Poaceae
Source: RefSeq, a predicted model, not a curated record